This 253-nucleotide ribosomal RNA is filed under the name uncultured bacterium. RNAcentral's name for it is "partial 16S ribosomal RNA". It matches the Rfam family "Bacterial small subunit ribosomal RNA", at positions 524 to 776 of the family's 1533-position model. The record is from RNAcentral.
UACAGAGGGGGCAAGCGUUGUUCGGAUUUACUGGGCGUAAAGCGCGCGCAGGCGGUGAUGUAAGUCAGGUGUGAAAUCCCCGGGCUUAACCUGGGAACUGCAUUUGUGACUGCAUCGCUGGAGUGCGGCAGAGGUGGAUGGAAUUCCGCGUGUAGCAGUGAAAUGCGUAGAUAUGCGGAGGAACACCGAUGGCGAAGGCAACCCCCUGGGCCUGCACUGACGCUCAUACACGAAAGCGUGGGGAGCAAACAGG